RNAcentral lists this unclassified non-coding RNA (253 nucleotides) under uncultured Halomonadaceae bacterium. RNAcentral describes it as "contains 16S-23S intergenic spacer region". It matches the Rfam family "Bacterial small subunit ribosomal RNA", at positions 524 to 776 of the family's 1533-position model. The record is from RNAcentral. Lineage: Bacteria; Pseudomonadati; Pseudomonadota; Gammaproteobacteria; Oceanospirillales; Halomonadaceae.
UACGGAGGGUGCUAGCGUUAAUCGGAAUUACUGGGCGUAAAGCGCGCGUAGGUGGCUUGAUAAGCCGGUUGUGAAAGCCCCGGGCUCAACCUGGGAACGGCAUCCGGAACUUUCAGGCUAGAGUGAAGGAUAGGAAGGUAGAAUUCCCGGUGUAGCGGUGAAAUGCGUAGAGAUCGGGAGGAAUACCAGUGGCGAAGGCGGCCUUCUGGACUGACACUGACACUGAGGUGGGAAAGCGUGGGUAGCUAACAGG